AUCGCUUCAAUGGUCAUAAAAAUGGUGUUCCUCUACUCGGAUCGGGCUGUCAAUUUUUUUCUACACUUUUAGGUGUAUUUUGUGCAAGAAAUUGCAAUAAAAUAGUGUGCCUAAGAAAAAUUGAAUGUUUUUGAAAAUUUUUUUUUGACGAAAAUCGCUUUAAUGGUCAUAAAAAUGGUGUUCCUCUACUCGGAUCCUUCUGUCAAUUUUUUUUUACACUUUUAGGUGUAUUUUGUGCAAGAAAUUGCAAUAAAAUAGUGUGCCUAAGAAAAAUUGAAUUUUUUUGACAAUUUUUUUUUGGCGAAAAUCGCUUCAAUGGUCAUAAAAAUGGUGUUCCUCUACUCGGAUCGGGCUGUCAAUUUUUUUCUACACUUUUAGGUGUAUUUUGUGCAAGAAAUUGCAAUAAAAUAGUGUGCCUAAGAAAAAUUGAAUGUUUUUGAAAAUUUUUUUUUGACGAAAAUCGCUUCAAUGGUCAUAAAAAUGGUGUUCCUCUACUCGGAUCGGGCUGUCAAUUUUUUUCUACACUUUUAGGUGUAUUUUGUGCAAGAAAUUGCAAUAAAAUAGUGUGCCUAAGAAAAAUUGAAUGUUUUUGAAAAUUUUUUUUUGACGAAAAUCGCUUCAAUGGUCAUAAAAAUGGUGUUCCUCUACUCGGAUCGGGCUGUCAAUUUUUUUCUACACUUUUAGGUGUAUUUUGUGCAAGAAAUUGCAAUAAAAUAGUGUGCCUAAGAAAAAUUGAAUGUUUUUGAAAAUUUUUUUUUGACGAAAAUCGCUUCAAUGGUCAUAAAAAUGGUGUUCCUCUACUCGGAUCGGGCUGUCAAUUUUUUUCUACACUUUUAGGUGUAUUUUGUGCAAGAAAUUGCAAUAAAAUAGUGUGCCUAAGAAAAAUUGAAUGUUUUUGAAAAUUUUUUUUUGACGAAAAUCGCUUUAAUGGUCAUAAAAAUGGU
Long non-coding RNA from Leptopilina boulardi, 944 nucleotides. RefSeq lists it as uncharacterized. The transcript has 4 exons. NCBI's taxonomy places the organism in Eukaryota, Metazoa, Arthropoda, Insecta, Hymenoptera, Figitidae. The record is from RefSeq and is a predicted model, not a curated record.